This 520-nucleotide ribosomal RNA is filed under the name uncultured Glomus. RNAcentral describes it as "SSU rRNA". It matches the Rfam family "Eukaryotic small subunit ribosomal RNA", at positions 569 to 1091 of the family's 1831-position model. The record is from RNAcentral. Lineage: Eukaryota; Fungi; Glomeromycota; Glomeromycetes; Glomerales; Glomeraceae.
AGCAGCCGCGGUAAUUCCAGCUCCAAUAGCGUAUAUUAAAGUUGUUGCAGUUAAAAAGCUCGUAGUUGAAUUUCGGGAUCAAUAUAUCGGUCGUGCCUUGGUACGUACUGGUAUCAUUGGUUUCUCCUUUCUGACGAACCAUGAUGUCAUUAAUUUGGUGUUAUGGGAAGUUAGGACUGUUACUUUGAAAAAAUUAGAGUGUUUAAAGCAGGCUUUGGCUUGAAUACAUUAGCAUGGAAUAAUGAAAUAGGACGUUCGAACCUAUUUUGUUGGUUUCUAGGAUCAACGUAAUGAUUAAUAGGGAUAGUUGGGGGCAUUAGUAUUCAAUUGUCAGAGGUGAAAUUCUUGGAUUUAUUGAAGACUAACUACUGCGAAAGCAUUUGCCAAGGAUGUUUUCAUUAAUCAAGAACGAAAGUUAGGGGAUCGAAGACGAUCAGAUACCGUCGUAGUCUUAACCAUAAACUAUGCCGACUAGGGAUCGGAUGAUGUUAAUUUUUAAUUGACUCAUUCGGCGCCUUAC